Molecule: long non-coding RNA, 3275 nt
Filed under: Salmo salar (Atlantic salmon)
Lineage: Eukaryota; Metazoa; Chordata; Actinopteri; Salmoniformes; Salmonidae
Description: lncRNA (ENSSSAG00000113277.1)
Source: RNAcentral
GACAGUAGUUCCAGCAUGUUCUUUACUCAGAAAACAGACUGACAAAAUGUUUUAGUAGAAAGUUAUUUUAAGCUUCUUAGUGGCUUUUCAUUGUACAAUUUACAAUUUAAAUGAGCAAAACUCUGGAUUAUGCCACAUAGUGUACCAGCUCUGUGUCCAUAUGGCAUAUUGUGAAGCAUUCACGCCGAGACAAAGCAUAGCAGAACACAUGUAAAAAUAGUCAUAAUCCAUAAUAUAGAAGAGCCAUAUACAGAACAUGAGUAAUGCUAGUCCAAAUUGAAUGAUUGGAGAAUGUGUGGGCUGUGGAAACCUACAGUACAAGUAGAACAGCAAGAUUACACCUUUAGUGCAGGUCUAGUUAUUCUAAAACACACUCAGAUUCAUAGACAUAGGAAUGGAUGAGAUAUAGAGUAUUGUAUAAACACAUCGCUGCUGUACGUUACAAACAGUUAAUGAUCCUGAGCAAACAUCAGAAUGUACAGGGUUUAUCAGCAUUGAUUAUGAGUACUGAUGAAAACGUGUGCUUAAAAAUUAAGACUAAAUUAUCAUUUGAAUAUUGACUUUACAAUAGGACAUCUCAUAAAAACAAUAUAAUAAUACACAAAGCUAAAAUAUUUUUUUUGUAUACAUUUGCAUUACGUAUUGCUGUGCAGAGGACGCAUCAUUUUCCUAUUUUCAUCAAAAGACAGAAUGCACAAUCCUGAAACAUUGUUGUAAAAAUGACAAAUCUAAACCCUAACCAGAUUGUUUUUUUUGGAGAGGGGGUGGUGUAAGGACUUUUGUGUAAUAGGUAAGGGCUCUUGGAGAUCCCUGUCUGACAGUGUCAGGGAUUGGCUGAACUCGGUAAUGCUUUCUCUUGACAAUUUUUUUUUUAAGGAUUAGAUGAAAAAUGGGCCUUGAGAAACUUUUGCACAGCUGAAAAAGCCCAUGGAGCUCUUUUGAAAAUACAAUAUUCUUUCCAAUAUUUGACCUUUUCAUACCCUUUUCAACAUAAGGCCUGGAAGAAAUAAAUGGAGGACAAUCAGUUUUGAUGCAUUCACAAUAGCAAUGCAACAGAUGAAGUGGCUUUGAAGGAGCAUAAUGCCAUGGAGAUGUGCGAGUGUAGCUGAAUGUACAGAGCAUUACACAGGUCAAACCAAUUAUUUUUGGAUUUUUGCACUUUGUUUGGUUCAUGGCUUAUUCAACAUGCUUGCUUGAAUUGUUCUUAGAUGUACUUUGUAUCGCAAACAAGAAAAACUGUUCUAUGCAAACCUCAUCUUAUAGUGAGACUAGUCGCUGACUGGUAACCACAACGUCUACUUUGUAGGUGAAGGGUAUUUCUGAGGGUAUUUCUGAGUACGGGAAAAAGGCUUUCUUGAAUGUGACUGUGGUCAGUAAACAAACAGAAAGUGAAAGUUGUUUUGUUCUUUUACUGUAUGCCAAAUUAUACUCCAUUUGAAAUGCUGUCAGAGCUAGAUGACAUCUCAGGCUUACUGGGCUAGUUGUGAUGCUUCAAUCAAACCCCACAUACACAAUCUCCCCAAACACAAACCCCACAUACACAAUCUCCCCAAACACAAACCCCACAUACACAAUCUCCCCAAACGCAAACACCUGCAGAGUGCAGACACACACAUACCACACUGUAUGCAUUUAGAAUCGGUUUACUAUUUGAAUUUCAUCAACUUAAACAGAUUGGGACAAUUCUGAUUGAGUGAUCCAGAGAAAACAAAAUGUGAUGGAGACACUAAUAACACAGGUGUUUCUGUACAGUCUGGAACCCAGCCAAGCCCAUCCCCAGCUGAUGACAUCACAGCGGUAAGGUUGAGUGGAGAAAGACAGUGCGCACGCUGUUUUGACAGACCCAGUGAUUUCAACACUACUUGAUCUUGGGUGUAAUUCGCACACACUCACAACAACCCUUGUUCCCUCAUGAUAACGCAACAAAUGAAUAGCCCUGUCAUGCCAAAGCACAUCAUGUCCAACUCCCCCUCUCCUCUGACCACUGCCAAAAAAAGUCCUUUCUCUGUAAUGCAGAGUAAGAAAUAAGCCAGCCAGCACCUCGGCCCUAAAGCUUUUGUUCACGGGGCACGAUUGAUUUCCAUUUAAAUGAAAAGAGAGCCAGGGAGCAAUGGUGGAGUGGCCUUAUACUCAGUAUGAAUGAAACAUGGGCAUCGUGGGUAUUUCCCCACUCACCCCACUACCCCUGCACUAUCCUCUCAAUUUCUCCCCACCAUACCCCCAUCCCAGCACUAUAAACCAUUAAAAUCAGACAUUCCUCAGCCAUCCAAGAGCUAUCUACAAUCAGUGAUGUGGUUGACGUUUUGAAAGGAAGCAUUUCAAAAAGGAAAAGAGAAGGGAGAUGUUGAAAAGAAAACAUCAUCAUUCACAAAGGUUGAUUAAUUCCAUCUCAGACCUCUGGCUUUUUCCACCCAUUUCUUUUCCUUUUUUUCCCUUCAUAGGUUGAGAAGAUAGGAGAACAAGCUUUAUCUUUCAACUGUAUUGGCUGUUGUCACUAAUAGGCCAAGGACAGGAUAUGUCACAGAGCUGAACAGGGAAAUUUAGUGAGGACUGGACUGGUUUAGGGUGGAUUAAACUCGCUUUUAUCAUUCAAAAAAGCCUGUUCUGAAUGCACCAAAUCAUCUCUGAAUACAGUUUAGUUUCACGACGGAGCGGAGAAACCUGUCGGAACAAUUGCAAAUGACUUCUAGCGGGAUAUUUGUUUUUCUUGUAAAAUAUAACAUUGGACAAAAGCAGCAACUGCAGAAUGCCCUUUUAAAUAUACACACAUACUUUGGGAUAUGUGGGACAGAAACAAACAAGAGACCAAAUAAAGGAAACUAAGUUUCCUUUGGAGGGGACCCAUGACACAGUAACAGAUGUUUCAGGUUUGACAAGCGUGGAAUCUUGCCUGCGAUUUGGGCUCACUAAAACAGGCAACAACACACCAAAUUAUUCUCCGACCUCCAUUUCCAUUCAGAAGGAUAUCACCGGUACAGACACAUACAAACAAACAUUCAUUCAUCUGCUCACUGACUUCGUGGACUAAUUCUAUCACUGUCUGAUCAACGUGGCAGAGGAGGAACAGAACUGGCAGAUUUAACAGAUCAUCAUUUCGAUUGGAUCGAUUUCACUCCCAGCCAAUCAUUAGUCAUUCAACAUUCACUCCUUGGUUCUGAUGAGAGGGAGAAAGGAGGGCUUCAGCAGUGCAGCUCCACUCCUGGCCUGGCUGAGAGAAGGUGUUUCUGCAGAAGAUGUGGCUUGCCUGCCUGCCUGUGGGACAGCCCUCCCUGUCC